Erinaceus europaeus (western European hedgehog) is the source of this 1356-nucleotide long non-coding RNA. RefSeq lists it as uncharacterized. Lineage: Eukaryota; Metazoa; Chordata; Mammalia; Eulipotyphla; Erinaceidae. The record is from RefSeq and is a predicted model, not a curated record. The transcript has 2 exons.
UUAUAGUAAACUUUUAAUCUACUACAAGUUUUAUUUGACAAGUAAGUGAAUUUCAGCUGUCAAGUCUUCACAUGAAAAAGCAUCUACUCAAAUGGAAUUCCCGGAAAUCCAUUUGGAACCCUGUUCUCUGACAUUGCCCACAAGGUGAAAUGACUACAACACACCCCUAGAAACCAAUGAUGUGACCUGGCACGACCUGAAGAAACAGAUUCACAGACUCCAAAGCUCACUCUCUACAGAAAAGUGGAAUUCCAGUGGCUGACAUUCCCCAUCGAGACAGAUGUGCAGCGUUUCAUCCCCUGGCAUUUUCUUUCGUGGUCAUCUACUUUGGACUGACACUUCCAUCUGACUUACUGGUACAAGCUGCUGUGUUUCUCAAAGACUAACUUCAGCCAGUUGCCUUGGGACUUUAUAGCCUGUGCCCCCUCGCCUGCAGGCUCUGUUCACAGAGGCAGAAAACUCCCCUUCCUUACUAGGUCAUGCCCACAGAGGCAGGAAACGCCCUUUGAGGCAAGAGAUGUCCACAGAGGCAUGAAGCGCCCCCAGAGGUAACAGAUGCCCCCAGAGGCAAGAAAUGCCCUUUAGCCUGCUAGGCCUUUCCCUUUGAGGCAGGAAAUACUCCCCUUGGCAUCACACUGGUUCUUGCUGCUCUCCUAUUUUGUUUUCCAUGUCUUAUGCCAGUUCUUUUGAAAAUGCCUGUAUGAUAUAGGUUUCUGUUCACCCCUACACUGCUAUUCCCCUGACAGGGAUGAAGCCUUUUACAGACAUUGACCCAGUUAUAUAUGGCCAUAAAGUAAGAGGGAGAUGUUGGGGAAUUGUGAGGAUGUGGUUGAGCUUGGAAGGGCUUGAGCUUGAGGGGUGUGUCAAUCCUGUUAGUCUCUCUCUCUACGGAGAGGUUGAGCAAGGAGGGACAGUAGAACCCCAAAAGGUGUGCCUCUUAUCAGUCUCCCUGCCUCACAAAGUGCCCCACAAUCCUGAUACUAUGGCAAAUAGUUAAAAAGAAAGGGGGAGAUGUUGGUAUGCCUGUAUAGGGAUUGGUUUGAUCCCAUUCAAAGUGGUCUAUUUACAUAAAUCAUUUCUACAUUUACAUAAAGCACCACACUCCCUCCAGGGCAUUAGUGGUUCAGUGGUAGAAUUCUCACCUGCUCUACCCCCUCUCCUUGUCACACCCUGAUUUUCACCAGUCACUUUUCUCUCCACCCUCUGUAUGUCACAUCUUGUUUACACCCUACUUGGAAAGUAUGUAAGGACAACAUUGUUCGUUUUAGUUAGUUGGUAGUUGUGUUAGUUUUAGUCUAGCUCGGCUUAGAUUGUGCUGCAUCCUGCAUGAAUAAAGAGAUACUGCGUACAGCUCAA